Molecule: long non-coding RNA, 2063 nt
Organism: Lotus japonicus
Lineage: Eukaryota; Viridiplantae; Streptophyta; Magnoliopsida; Fabales; Fabaceae
Exons: 2
Source: RefSeq, a predicted model, not a curated record
UUCUUCAUUAACGUGAAUUGAACGCAGGUUCUUCUGCAAAACUCCCCAGAUCAUCCUCACCUUACUCCUCCCAUCUCCAGUCCCUAUCUCCCAACCCUAACCCUUUCCUCCUCUUCUUUCUCCCAGUCACCGCAACUCCCCAGAUCUGCAUAGUACUCCAGACGAAUUAAAUGGAGGUGCCCAGAACCAUCUUCUUCGCUCCACCCUCUUCUGCAAAACCUUCCUCUUUUUCUCUUUGAACGAAGCCCAUAUCAAAACCCUCUUCUUCUUCAGGAGUGGAACUCAAUUUGGGUGUGGCUGGGGGGUUUGGGAAUGAAACUCUCCCUAUUUUCACUCUUCACUCACUACCAGAUCCAACUUUCCCAUUUCACCUAUUCAAAAUGAAAAUACCUGCAAAUUAACCAGGCUUACAGAAAAAGGAAUAUGCUUUUAUCCAUUUUCUUUGAAUUCUGCACAAAAGGAAUAUGCUUUUAUCCCGUGCUGAUUAGCCAGCCAAUGAACAACUUCAAAAUCACCAUAGCCACCUUCAGGGAGUUUCACAAACAAGUAAAUUGCACCUUCCCCUCCUUUUACAGAACCAUCUCAUCUUCUACCAUCAUCAUUUAUUUUCUGAAAAUCCAUCCUCUCAUCUUCCUCCCUCUCCCACCAAACCCACCCACUCCCCACCGCCACCCAACCUCAACUCCACCGCCACCCUUAACCUCACCCCAAUCGGAACCCAAACCAUCCACUCCCCACUGUCACAAACAUGAACCCUAAAUCCAGCGACCUGCAACCUCAACCCCAACACCCACCCACCUGCAAAGAAUAAACAAAGGGAAGAAGGAGAAAGAACAGAGCAGACAGUGAAGGAGAAAGAACCCCACCGCAACCCACCCCCAAAAUACCAAAAACCAACCCCCACCGAUCCAAAACCCAAAACAACCCAUAGAUGAAGAAGAAGAAGAAGCAUACUUCAACCUUCAAAUCCAAUCCCCUGAACAAACCCUCAUACCAGUCCAAGAAUUUGGCUAUGCAUCUCUUUGCAACCAGAUCUGAGAUGGGUGAAGAGCAGCGAGCCUGCAGUGGUGGCGGCGGUGUGCGAUGGGCGUCAGCGGCACGGUGGUCCAUCACAUGUGCUCUAUGGGUCGAUCUUCAUCCUUUAUGUUUCAGGGUUUGAUCUGGAACAAGAAAAACUGAAAUCAGGGUUUAUGGGUCAAUCUUCAUCCCCUCGGUGACGACGGGAGAUCUGGAGAUGGAGGGGAUGGCUUUUGCAGAGAUGGUGGGGAUGAGUUUUGUGUAACACCCCGUUUUUAAUUAAAAUAAUGUUGGUAUUUUAUUUUAAUUAAGAUUAUAUUGUAUGAGGGUUUAAUAGGUGAUAUAUUAAUACUUUAAUGAAAUAAAAUAAUUUUUUUGUGAUGCUGAGUGUGUUUUAUGAAAUGGAAGAGAGCUAGGGGGUGAAAGUUAGGAUUAAAAAUAGAGACAAGGACUAGGAGAGAUUUUAGGAUUUUUAGUUUAGCCCUUGAGGAAUUAGGUUUAGAUGGUUUAAUAAGGAUGGGGAAGUAGCUAAAGAAAAAAAAAAAUAAGAAAGAAUAGGACGCGUGAAAGAAGGAGAAAAAAAAAAAGAAGAAGGUUGUGCGUGAAGUAGCAGGAAGAGAGGGAGAGCGGAUCGGCUUCGGAGAAUUCGAUCGGGAACGGGGAGCUGCACUCAAUCCAAAGGUAAUUAGGAGGAGUAGUCUAUAGCCUUUAUUUCGAGUUGGAGUCCUUGCUCUGAUACGUAGCACUCGGGGGGGAAAUGGACGCUUGUUUUCCUUCUGUUAUAAUUUGAAUUAAGUUGUUAUUUGAGAAGUUGUUUCUGUUUUAAGUUGUGGGCAAGAUACUAUGUUUUCUUUAAGUUUUAAAGACACUGGAUUCGCUGCAUAACUAUUUGUCAAAGUGAACUAGUUCAAAGACUAAUUAACUGUCACAAGAGCAUUUAAGUUUAUUUAUGAGUUCAUCUCAAAGUUUAUGUGCUAUGUAUCUGUUACAGGAGCAUUAUGAUAAUGUUUUAAGUGAUUAUGUAAUGCCCCAUGAGUGUUAGAAUU